This 228-nucleotide ribosomal RNA is filed under the name uncultured eukaryote. RNAcentral's name for it is "partial 18S ribosomal RNA". It matches the Rfam family "Eukaryotic small subunit ribosomal RNA", at positions 1208 to 1456 of the family's 1831-position model. The record is from RNAcentral.
UGAAAUCUCAACAGGCCCGGACACUGGAAGGAUUGACAGAUUGAUAGCUCUUUCUUGAUUCGGUGCGUGGUGGUGCAUGGCCGUUCUUAGUUGGUUGAGUGAUUUGUCUUGUUAAUUCCGUUAACGAACGAGACCUUAACCUGCUAAAUAGUGACGCGGUUCAUCGAACCGUGGGCCACUUCUUAGAGGGACUAUCGGAUUCAAACCGAUGGAAGUGUGAGGCAAUAA